This 70-nucleotide transfer RNA is filed under the name Cordylochernes scorpioides. Its description in RNAcentral is "tRNA-Gly". It matches the Rfam family "tRNA". From Rfam's summary of the family: Transfer RNA (tRNA) molecules are approximately 80 nucleotides in length. Their secondary structure includes four short double-helical elements and three loops (D, anti-codon, and T loops). Further hydrogen bonds mediate the characteristic L-shaped molecular structure. tRNAs have two regions of fundamental functional importance: the anti-codon, which is responsible for specific mRNA codon recognition, and the 3' end, to which the tRNAs corresponding amino acid is attached (by aminoacyl-tRNA synthetases). tRNAs cope with the degeneracy of the genetic code in two manners: having more than one tRNA (with a specific anti-codon) for a particular amino acid; and 'wobble' base-pairing, i.e. permitting non-standard base-pairing at the 3rd anti-codon position. Lineage: Eukaryota; Metazoa; Arthropoda; Arachnida; Pseudoscorpiones; Chernetidae. The record is from RNAcentral.
GCAUCGGUGGUUCAGUGGUAGAAUGCUCGCCUGCCACGCGGGCGGCCAGGGUUCGAUUCUCGCCGAUGCA